RNAcentral lists this ribosomal RNA (468 nucleotides) under uncultured bacterium. RNAcentral's name for it is "partial 16S ribosomal RNA". It matches the Rfam family "Bacterial small subunit ribosomal RNA", at positions 28 to 507 of the family's 1533-position model. The record is from RNAcentral.
GACGAACGCUGGCGGCGUGCUUAACACAUGCAAGUCGAACGGAAAGGCCCUGCUUUUGUGGGGUGCUCGAGUGGCGAAAGGGUGAGUAACACGUGAGUAACCUGCCCUUGACUUUGGGAUAACUUCAGGAAACUGGGGCUAAUACCGGAUAGGAGCUCCUGCUGCAUGGUGGGGGUUGGAAAGUUUCGGCGGUUGGGGAUGGACUCGCGGCUUAUCAGCUUGUUGGUGGGGUAGUGGCUUACCAAGGCUUUGACGGGUAGCCGGCCUGAGAGGGUGACCGGCCACAUUGGGACUGAGAUACGGCCCAGACUCAUACGGGAGGCAUCAGUGGGGAAUAUUGCACAAUGGGCGGAAGCAGGAUGCAGCAACGCCGCGUGCGGGAUGACGGCCUUCGGGUUGUAAACCGCUUUCGCCUGUGACGAAGCGUGAGUGACGGUAAUGGGUAAAGAAGCACCGGCUAACUACGUG